This 300-nucleotide ribosomal RNA is filed under the name Triticum aestivum (bread wheat). Its description in RNAcentral is "partial small subunit ribosomal RNA". The record is from RNAcentral. Lineage: Eukaryota; Viridiplantae; Streptophyta; Magnoliopsida; Poales; Poaceae.
AUGGAGGCGGUGGAGCCGGCGGUGGUGGUGAGCUGCGUGUGCUGCGGCCUGGAGGAGGAGUGCACCCGCGAGUACAUCGGCGGCGUGAGGGCCUACUUCGGGGGCCGGUGGCUGUGCGGGCUGUGCUCCGAGUCCGUCAAGUACGAGGCCAGCCGCAGCAAGCGCACCGCGGCCAUGGGCGUGGAGGAGGCCGUGCGGGCGCACAUGGCCUUCUGCCGCAUGUUCAGGCGCGGCGGCCACGCGCUCCGUGGCGUCAGCGUCCGGGCACCACCGCGCCUCGGUGCCGUCCGCCUGAGUUGA